AAGUUUAGGCUAACACACUAAACCGAGGGCCUUCAAAGCCCAAAAUAGAGAUCACUCUCUAACUUCU
RNAcentral lists this transfer RNA (67 nucleotides) under Pseudogekko compresicorpus (Philippine false gecko). RNAcentral describes it as "tRNA-Trp". Lineage: Eukaryota; Metazoa; Chordata; Lepidosauria; Squamata; Gekkonidae. The record is from RNAcentral.